GAAAUGCGAUACUUGGUGUGAAUUGCAGAAUCCCGCGAGCACCCGCCUCGUGGUUGGUUGAAAUCUGGGUUCAUGGCCGACUUCGCCGUGAUAAAAUGGUGGAUGAGCCACGCUCGAGACCAAUCACGUGCGAGCCGGUCAGUUCUGGACCCAUCGACGACCCUUUGCGUGCACGCACGCUCCCAACGAGACCUCAGGUCAGGCGGGGCUACCCGCUGAGUUUAA
Molecule: unclassified non-coding RNA, 225 nt
Filed under: uncultured fungus
Lineage: Eukaryota; Fungi
Description: sequence contains ITS1
Source: RNAcentral